This 449-nucleotide ribosomal RNA is filed under the name uncultured bacterium. RNAcentral describes it as "partial 16S ribosomal RNA". It matches the Rfam family "Bacterial small subunit ribosomal RNA", at positions 29 to 523 of the family's 1533-position model. The record is from RNAcentral.
AACGAACGCUGGCGGCAUGCCUAACACAUGCAAGUCGAACGAAGCCUUCGGGCUUAGUGGCGCACGGGUGCGUAACACGUGGGAAUCUGCCCUUAGGUAUGGAAUAACUCAGGGAAACUUGAGCUAAUACCGUAUGAUGUCUUCGGACCAAUGAUUUAUCGCCUAAGGAUGAGCCCGCGUCGGAUUAGCUAGUUGGUGGGGUAAAGGCCUACCAAGGCGACGAUCCGUAGCUGGUCUGAGAGGAUGAUCAGCCACACUGGGACUGAGACACGGCCCAGACUCCUACGGGAGGCAGCAGUGGGGAAUAUUGGACAAUGGGCGAAAGCCUGAUCCAGCAAUGCCGCGUGAGUGAAGAAGGCCUUCGGGUUGUAAAGCUCUUUUACCCGGGAAGAUAAUGACUGUACCGGGAGAAUAAGCCCCGGCUAACUCCGUGCCAGCCGCCGCAGUAA